RNAcentral lists this ribosomal RNA (253 nucleotides) under uncultured bacterium. Its description in RNAcentral is "partial 16S ribosomal RNA". It matches the Rfam family "Bacterial small subunit ribosomal RNA", at positions 524 to 776 of the family's 1533-position model. The record is from RNAcentral.
UACGGAGGGGGCUAGCGUUGUUCGGAAUUACUGGGCGUAAAGCGCACGUAGGCGGCUUUGUAAGUUAGAGGUGAAAGCCCAGGGCUCAACCCUGGAAUUGCCUUUAAGACUGCAUCGCUUGAACAUCGGAGAGGUAAGUGGAAUUCCGAGUGUAGAGGUGAAAUUCGUAGAUAUUCGGAAGAACACCAGUGGCGAAGGCGGCUCACUGGACCGUUGUUGACGCUGAGGUGCGAAAGCGUGGGGAGCAAACAGG